AGGCAGCCUUCUUCCUAAACUAUGAAACAGUAGGAAGACAGGUGUUAAUCUACUCGCACACUGAAACCGACUUUUGCUCUUCAGACUUGCUGAGGCUGGUGUCCUCUGAAGCUGGUCUAGUAUGCCUAAGUACAUU
This is a small nucleolar RNA of Coffea eugenioides, 136 nucleotides long. RefSeq annotates it as small nucleolar RNA snoR77. The transcript has a single exon. The record is from RefSeq and is a predicted model, not a curated record. Lineage: Eukaryota; Viridiplantae; Streptophyta; Magnoliopsida; Gentianales; Rubiaceae.